CCUACGGGUGGCAGCAGUGAGGAAUAUUGGUCAAUGGACGAGAGUCUGAACCAGCCAAGUAGCGUGAAGGAUGAAGGCCCUAUGGGUGGUAAACUUCGUUUAUAGGGGAAUAAAAUGGUACACGGGUGGGAUUGUGUAUGUACCAUAUGAAUAAGGAACGGCUAACUCCGUGCCAGCAGCCGCGGUAAUACGGAGGAUCCGAGCGUUAUCCGGAUUUAGUGGGGUUAAAGGGAGCGUAGGGGGAUUGGUAAGUCAUUUGUGAAAGUUUGCGGCGCACCCGUAAAAUUGCAGUUGAAACUGGCAGUCUUGAGUUCAGUAGAGUUGAGCUGAAUUC
This 334-nucleotide ribosomal RNA is filed under the name uncultured bacterium. RNAcentral's name for it is "partial 16S ribosomal RNA". It matches the Rfam family "Bacterial small subunit ribosomal RNA", at positions 338 to 669 of the family's 1533-position model. The record is from RNAcentral.